UCCUGCUCUUGGUUCAGUCGACUCAAGCCC
RNAcentral lists this non-coding RNA (30 nucleotides) under Homo sapiens (human). The record is from RNAcentral. Lineage: Eukaryota; Metazoa; Chordata; Mammalia; Primates; Hominidae.